GAAUUUCCAAAAUGAUUUGUUUAUGUCACUAAUGUCAGACAUCUUAUUGAACUGCCAAGCCUUUACUUAAAACAGUCUAGCAGACGUCAUCAUGUCACGAGGAAAACAAGACGACUACGAUUGCAUUCAACGAAAUUUUAUUUUUUUAAAGAAAGAGUUGGAGGCAAGAGACCUCGUUGAUUUUUUGUUUCAAUACGGGGUAAUUUCAUUGGACGAAAAAGAACACAUUGAGAACAAAGACAAAAAAGAAAACAGAAAUGAUAUAUUAUUAAAAUUAAUACUUAGUGCUGGACCACAUGAUGCAUUCGACAUUUUUCUUCAGUCAUUAGAAGCUAGAUACCGACAUGUCAAAAUGCAACUAAUGCAAACAGAUUGUUUUGAAAAAGAAAGCAAGAACUCUAAAGAUUAUAUUGCCCAGGUUAGUGUACAGGUACAAGGUUAUGAUGACAAGAUCAAGUUGUUGGAAAUAGAGAAUGAUUAUUUUGCAUUUUGAUUCCAAUCAACACAUUUCAACACUGUUCAUGAUAAUAAUUGUGAUUUGUGAAGGACUUCGUAGCGGGCCUACUCUAUCAAACAAACAAAAAAAAAAAGAAUUCGUAUGUGACUGGACAUGUCUUCUAUAGGAACGUUGUUGUUGAUCCCUUUACUACACAAUAACGUCGAUCAAGAAAUAAAAUGGCUUAAUUUUCUUUUUGUCGUUUAGUGACAUCUACUAGAAGCACUAUAGACAGAUGAAGGAUAUUUACGACCAUGCUUUAGAUUAGUAUUUGAAAAGUGUAAAAAUUAUUUUUAUUUACUCACGACGCUCAAAGUGUUGCCUUUUAAGAGAAUAAUAUAAAUCUCGAAACAAUUUACUGGCAUUCAUGCUGCCCUUUCGGUGGCCCUGACGGCCCAUUUGGAUACCGGCCCACCGGGCAUUUGCCCGAAUGCCCAUAUAGCCAGUCCGCCCCUGCAUGAGUCUUAUAGAAAAAUGAUUUUUAUUUAAUCUACAUCGUAUAAUUUGUAAGAAAAAUGUCUGAAUAAGAUGUUAUCCAUUGUAUAUGUAUUUAUGUUUUUUAUUUGUAACCUUUUAUUCCGUAUUAAAAAAAUAAUUGGUAUCCCUAUAUUAAUGAAAAGUUAAUGUGUAACAAAUCUAUACUUGUUUUUUUGUGUCUAAUUGAUCAUGUCUUGGAAAGUAAAUCCAAUUAAAAAAAAAACGUAUUUAGAUUUAGAGUUUUGACUAAUCUAUUCAUAGAGUCUAGUCCUAGAUCUAGAUUUUGGUCUAGAGUCUAGACUAGUCUAGAUCUAAUCUUGGUCUAGAGUAUGGACUAGUCUAGAUCUAAUCUUGAUCUGGAGUCUGGACUAGUCUAGAUCUAAUCUUAGUCUAGAGUCUGGACUAGACUAGAUCUAAUCUUGGUCUGUAGUCUGGACUAGUCUAGAUCUAAUCUUGGUCUGGACUAGUCUAGAUAUAAUCUUGGUCUAGACAUCUAGAACGAUGGUAAGUCACGUUAUUCGAUAAAACUUAAAACCAAAGAACUUCUUAAAAAAGAAGCCAUGUAUGCCUAAUAGGUUAUUGGGCAGGCUAUCUAGAUUUACAUUAUAAUACAUGUAGAUCUAGAUUAUUCUAGAUCUAAGUCUAAUAGUCUAUGUAAAUCUAGAUGUUUUUUUAGAUUUGAAACAUACAUCUUUUCGAUGAUUUUAUUAGCACAUCAUACACUACUUCACUUUAACCUAUCCCUUAGUAUGACAAACCGUUGGGGGCACCACACAUGAUCUAUACGACAGUACGUAUUGGUCCUCUACUCGGUAAAACAUCACUCCUCUUCCUCUACAUCCUUUUUUUACCUAGGACUUCUUUUAAUGACAGGCAAGACCAUUUUUUUAGCGGCCCCCGUAAGGGGAAAAAGCCGCUAUUAGGUUUGUGCAAAAUGUCCGUCUGUCCGUCUGUCUGUCUGUCCGUCUGUCACACUCAGAUCUCGAAAACUAGAAGAGAUAUGAAAAAUAUUAUUUCAUCAUUAAAUGCGGCUUGAAAAGUUUAGGUGCAACGGCUACUUUUGGUUUUCUAAAAGCAAACCGUUUAAUUUAUAAAAUUAAUUAUGCAAGCGAUUUUUUCAUAAAAAUACACCAAUUCUAAAACAAUUACGUAAAUGUAAGGGAGGCAAUGUUACAAUAUGCUAACAAAGAUGGACAAUAUUUGUGUAUUUUCAGUAUCACUAAGUCAAAUAUAUUUUUAAAAUGUACAGGAAAUGUUUACAACAAAUAUAAAUAAUAGUUAAAGAUGUUUUUUUAUGGUCAACUAGCUGCUAAAAUUAAAAGAAAACAUUUCUGUUUGUUUAUAAAGGCUAAUAAUGCACUUUGUAUGUAAAUAUCACGCACAUUUUUUUUUAAAUGGACUUUUUAUGCUGCGAUUUUCGUGCAGUAGCGUAACGUCGCAACAUGAUCAGGUGCUAAACCAAUUCCUUAAACUUUUUUUAAAAAUCAGAUUUUAUUUAUUUUUUGUUUAGUGCCCCCAUCCGAAUAAAAGAAGAUUAUUUUUGUGCGUUUUGUCUGUUGGUCGGUCUUUCCGUCACGAUUAGACUAACAGACAAAACUAGAGGCUAUUGUAAAUCUGUUUAACCUUUACUUUUUAAUUCAGAAAUAUUGCAAUAGUUUUAAGUAUCUAUAAUAGAUUGUUCCGGAUGUUUUGUGAAAAACAAAUCAAUGCCAAUGAAUAUUUGUUUGCUCUUCUAAUUUAUAUUAGAUUUUAUUUUCAUGCUUAAACGUUGCAAGAAACACAUGAUCUUUAAUAUAUCGUUCCGGUUUUGUAAUGUAAAUAGCAUAUAAGUGCUAAAUAAAAAUAUCUAUACUGAUUUAUAUUUCAUUAACAAUAAAGUUGUUCCGGAUCUUGUUUAAUAAAAAACAAAUUAUAUCAAAUGAUUGUUUGAAAUCGCAUAAUUGACUAAUAUUACACUUAUAUUCUUUGACUCUACGUCACUAUAGUUUAUGUAUCAAUAUCAAUUGUUCGGAUUUUUUAACAAAUGUAUGUCAAAUAAUUUUUUUUUCAAAAGUAUCGACAAUAGGUUAUUCAGGAUUUUAAAAUAAGAAAGUAAUUUACUAGAAACGAUUAUUGAAAAUCAAUUUUUAGACUUAUUUUACAGUUAAUUUUCUUGCCGAAACAUAAUAAUAGUUGUUUAAUCGGUAAAGCAUGUUCCGGAUUUUGUUUCGAAAAAGAAAUCGACAUACAUUACCUUAAUUUUCUUACAAAUCGUCGCCAAAAAUGAUCCGAAUUUUAUAUGAAAAAUCUAAUAACGCUAAUAAAUGUUUGAAAUCACUCUUCCAAUAAAUAAAACAAAUAAUUUUCUCAUUUACGAAAAUUGG
Long non-coding RNA from Biomphalaria glabrata, 3336 nucleotides. RefSeq lists it as uncharacterized. The transcript has 5 exons. NCBI's taxonomy places the organism in Eukaryota, Metazoa, Mollusca, Gastropoda, Planorbidae. The record is from RefSeq and is a predicted model, not a curated record.